UACUAUAUGGAUGGAAAGGCUAGA
This 24-nucleotide non-coding RNA is filed under the name Mus musculus (house mouse). Lineage: Eukaryota; Metazoa; Chordata; Mammalia; Rodentia; Muridae. The record is from RNAcentral.